ACUCUCCGAACUCCUUGCCCCUCAGAUCUCAUUAUCGGCCUGAGCUGCUAAAAAAGGAGAAAAGUAAAACUAAAGUGGACUUGGAGUCUGGACAUACAAGUUCAUUGCAAACGUUA
RNAcentral lists this small nucleolar RNA (116 nucleotides) under Echinops telfairi (small Madagascar hedgehog). RNAcentral describes it as "Small nucleolar RNA SNORA61 (ENSETEG00000025293.1)". Lineage: Eukaryota; Metazoa; Chordata; Mammalia; Afrosoricida; Tenrecidae. The record is from RNAcentral.